CCUACGGGUGGCAGCAGUGGGGAAUAUUGCACAAUGGGGGAAACCCUGAUGCAGCGACGCCGCGUGAGUGAAGAAGUAAUUCGUUACGUAAAGCUCUAUCAGCAGGGAAGAAAUACUGACCUUACGGUCAGCAGACGGUACCUGAGUAAGAAGCCCCGGCUAACUACGUGCCAGCAGCCGCGGUAAUACGUAGGGGGCAAGCGUUAGCCGGAUUUACUGGGUGUAAAGGGGGCGUAGACGGUGCGCCAAGUCUGUAGGGAAAUGCCGCAGCUUAACUGCGGAACUGCUUUGGAAACUGGCGAACUAGAGUGCGGGAGGGGUAAGCGGAAUUCCUAGUGUAGCUGUGAAAUGCGUAGAUAUUAGGAGGAACCCCGGUGGCGAAGGCGGCUUACUGGACCGUAACUGACGUUUAGGCUCGAAAGCGUGGGGAGCAAACAGGAUUAGAUACCCUUGUAGUC
This 458-nucleotide ribosomal RNA is filed under the name uncultured bacterium. RNAcentral describes it as "partial 16S ribosomal RNA". It matches the Rfam family "Bacterial small subunit ribosomal RNA", at positions 338 to 795 of the family's 1533-position model. The record is from RNAcentral.